CAUUACCGAGUUUACAACUCCCAAACCCAAUGUGAACGUUACCAAACUGUUGCCUCGGCGGGGUCACGCCCCGGGUGCGUCGCAGCCCCGGAACCAGGCGCCCGCCGGAGGAACCAACCAAACUCUUUCUGUAGUCCCCUCGCGGACGUAUUUCUUACAGCUCUGAGCAAAAAUUCAAAAUGAAUCAAAACUUUCAACAACGGAUCUCUUGGUUCUGGCAUCGAUGAAGAACGCAGCGAAAUGCGAUAAGUAAUGUGAAUUGCAGAAUUCAGUGAAUCAUCGAAUCUUUGAACGCACAUUGCGCCCGCCAGUAUUCUGGCGGGCAUGCCUGUCCGAGCGUCAUUUCAACCCUCGAACCCCUCCGGGGGAUCGGCGUUGGGGAUCGGGACCCCUCACACGGGUGCCGGCCCCGAAAUACAGUGGCGGUCUCGCCGCAGCCUCUCCUGCGCAGUAGUUUGCACAACUCGCACCGGGAGCGCGGCGCGUCCACGUCCGUAAAACACCCAACUUUCUGAAAUGUUGACCUCGGAUCAGGUA
This 537-nucleotide small RNA is filed under the name Trichoderma asperellum. RNAcentral describes it as "eukaryotic LSU rRNA". The stretch from base 189 to 342 matches the Rfam family "5.8S ribosomal RNA". Lineage: Eukaryota; Fungi; Ascomycota; Sordariomycetes; Hypocreales; Hypocreaceae. The record is from RNAcentral.